GACGAACCGUGCAAACGUUGUUCGGAAUCACUGGGCUUAAAGGGCGCGUAGGCGGGCCAGCCAGUCUGUGGUGAAAGCCUCCAGCUUAACUGGAGAAGUGCCGUGGAUACUGCUGGCCUCGAGGAGGAUAGGGGCAUCUGGAACGGUCGGUGGAGCGGUGAAAUGCGUUGAUAUCGACCGGAACUCCGGUGGCGAAGGCGAGGUGCUGGGUCCUUUCUGACGCUGAGGCGCGAAAGCCAGGGGAGCAAACGGG
Molecule: ribosomal RNA, 253 nt
Filed under: uncultured bacterium
Lineage: Bacteria
Description: partial 16S ribosomal RNA
Rfam family: Bacterial small subunit ribosomal RNA
Source: RNAcentral